UGAUUCAGGUGGGCUUGUUAUUGUUGGGUGGGCGCUGCUUUUGCAGUCUGAGCUGAGAAAAUUUUCCAGUUGCUGCUACACCAGAGAAUUAAUGAUGAUGAUACCGUGAGUCAUAAUCUUAUUGAGACAAGUGGAAUUGUUUCUGAGUGUAUAGUCGAGCCUUGGGAUGUUAGGCGGUUCAUAACCUGUGCUAUUCCUUCUUUGCACAGCAGUGUCUGUAAUCCUUUUUACUUUUUUGAUGGAGCAUAAGAUGUUUUGCAAACUGGUACCCAUCUCCAAUAUGUGGAAGUCAAUUAUAUUUGGGGUGGAAAUAUCCGUGCGGUUAAUCAAGCCUGGCUUGGUGCUUGUUGCAGUAGAGCCCAUUUUUCUGUCACUUGUUGCUGUAGAUCAUCCUCGUUCUGGUCAGUUCAGGGGGUAAGGAAAAUGCAUGUAGCAUGUUGCUUGAAAGGCUCUUCCUGUGCACGUAUGGUUAGGGCAUCUACAACCUGAGUUGGCAAAUCUGGGCUCUAUACAUCCGUGGAUGCCCUCAAAUUAUCACAGAAAAAAGUACAUAGUCCUAACAUAGUUCAAUCAUAAAAUUUGUUCAUAGUGAAUAAUUGAUACGCCCUCAAAUUAUCACAGAAAAAAGUACAGUCCUAACAUAGUUCAAUCAUAAAAAUUGUUCAUAGUGAAUAAUUGAUACAUAAAACACAUAGGUGAUUUUCAGCAUGGAUACACAUAUGAUCCACAAGAUCAUUGAGAAGUUGCAUAUGCACAUGUUGAUCUUGAAGUUGUCAAUGCACCUUAAGAAAGUUGGUAAUAUGCUUUGUCUCUUGUUCCGAGAAGCGGACCUAAACACCGGGCUUCUCAAAAUCAUGCCCUUCACCCUUGUCCUUGACAAUCAUGUUGUGCAAAGAUUACAAAACAUGUCAUGAGCUGUCAAUGUGUCCUCGCUUCCCACAUCAUUGCAGCUCCAUGAACAAUACUCCAACGAACUUGGAGCACUCUGAGUGCCCUCUUCAUAUCUUGCUUACCACCUUCUUGGGCUUGUGCAAAGAGUCAUUAUUUCCUAACAUGAGGAUCCAAUAUAGUGCCCUCUCCACAUCCCUUUUACCACCUUCUUGGGCUUGUGCGGAGAGUCAUUGUUUGCUAACACGAGGAUCCGAUAUAGGAGAGCUCCUAUGCGCCGUUCGCUGCAGCGAAUUAUCGAGCGGACGCACAGGCGCGUCCAGCUGGGCCGGCCCAUUCGCGCAACGCAGUGAAAAAAUCCCAAAAAAUUAUGCUGGAGAGAGGGAUCAAAACAGGGACCUCCAUCUUUGUAUGCACGAGCUAACCAUAGCGAUAGACAAGCUUUCUUGGUUUGCUAUGGCGUGCGGAGCUAAAUGUAAUGGAGACCCAAACAUUUUCUCAAAUUCCUAACGCAAAAAUUAUUUUGAAAAGGUGUUUCUUAAAAAGAGAACACUUUCCAAAUUUUAGAAGAAAAACUAAAAGGCAUGAAGAAAUUUUUGAUAAACUGAACACUUUUUAAAAUCCCUAACAUUUUUUGAAUUUAGGGAACAAAAUUUUGAAAUCGAGAAGAAAAUUUGAACAUGAAUUAUUUUUAAAGCACGGACAUUUUUUUAAUCUUGAGAACAAAUUUUGAAACGGAGAACAAAUUUGUAAGUGUGGAAAUUUGAGAACAAAAUUUGAACAUGAACAUUUUUUAAAGCACGAACAUUUUUUAAUCUUGAGAAGAAAAUUUGAAACAGAGAACAAAUUUGGAAGCGUGGAUUUUUUUAAAGCAUGAACAUUUUUUUUGAAUGUUGAGAACAAAUUUUGAAACAUAGAAUAAAUUUGGAAGCGUGAACAAUUUCUUAAAGCACGGACAUUUUUUGAAUAUUGAGAAUAAAUUUUGAAACAGAGAACAAAUUUGAAAAAUCCCGAAUAUAUUUGGAAGUGCAAACAUUUUUUGAAAACCUGAACAAAAAAGUUGAAGUCUGGUACAUUAUAUUAAUUUCGAAAAUUUUGCACUUUUUUGUGUAACGAGAACAAUUUUCGAAUUUUGAGAACAAUUUUUAAAAAACUGACCAUUUUACGGAAAGGCAAACAAAAUUUGAAUAUUUUGAAAAAAGGAGAGAAAAGAAAAAGGAAAUGAAAUAAUAAACCAAAGAAAGAUAACAAACAGAAAAAACGAAAAAGAAAAAAAAGGAAACAGAAAGUAAUUUGAAAAUCUGAAGAACAAAAAGGAAAUAGAAAGAGAAGAAAAGGAAUUGAAAAAAUGAAAUAAAGAAACAGAAAAACAAAGAAAGAAGAAAAAAAGAGAAAGAAAAAAAAACAGUGAAAAACCGGUUCAAGAACCUUCUGGAAGGUUCCCAAAACUGGUCAGGAACCUUCCAGAAAGUACCUACUGUAGCGCGCGUAGUUGGGCCGGCCCAUCUGGAUCGCUAGGUCACUCGGCUCUGUGCGUUUGCUCGACAAUCUGCCGCAAUGAGCGUCCGCUAGGAUAUUCCCCGAUAUAGUGCUCUCUUGAUAUCCUUUUUACCACCUUCUUGGGCUUGUGCGAAGAAUCAUUGUUUCUUAACAUGAGGAUCCGAUAUAGUCUUCACAAACGCCACCCACUGAGGAUAGAUACCGUCGGCAUGGUAGUACCCCAUGUUGUAGUUGUGCCCAUUGACGGUGUAGUUGCAUGGCGGAGCUUCCCCAUCGUUGGAGCACAUUGAUGUUAUUGUUAGAAUCAGGUGUGUCAAAGGAAGAAUGUCAAAAUCCGUAAGUCCUUCGACGCCACUGUUUCAAGUAUGAUGAUGGCUUCUUUGGCGUGACCUUGGUACAACCCACAUAAAUCUUUUGUGCAGUUCUUUCAUUGCCAGUGCAUGCAAUCAACUGAACCGAGCAUACCUGAGAAUCCUCAUGUUGCUUCAAUUGCCAACAAUUUUUUCCAUGUCCUCCCAGUUGGCUCCCUUAGGCACUCUGGCCCAAACACCUUCACCAAAAGUGCGUACAAAUUGCACCAUGUUGUUCAAGACCGUGGUCCCUCCCAUCCGGAUUUCAGUUGCCUUACCAUAAGCAAGCAUCCUAAGAGCAGCCGUGCAUUUCCGCAUCAGAGAGAAAUAACAUUUUUCGCAACAAUCGUUCCUCAACUUGAAGUUUCCAUCAACCUUCUCCAUGGCAGUGACUAUGCGCAAGAACAAAUCUCCGCUCACCCGGAAGUGCACCAAAAAACCCUUCAUGGUAUGUUGGGCCUAGUGUGAAGUAGUCCGUGUACAGAAGCCAUGGGCCAGUGAUGCUAUCCCGGGGAAUAACUCUUCGGACCUUUAUCAAACCCUUGAAGUUCAAUAUGUGCUCCUCUUCUCUAUUUCUUAUUGGAUGCUCAUCAUCAUCAUCAUCAUCAUCAUUUUAGCAUCUUCAUCGUCUGAAUCUGACGAUCCAAUGAACUUUCUGUAUAUGAAUUCAUCAAGGUUCGUGUUUCCAUAGCCAUCAUUCGACAAAUCCAUUGGUGACCUACAAAUGACCAAAAGAAUAAAAAAACUACUCAAACAUUUCAUUGAACAUAUAGAGCACAAGGUGUAUAUCCAAAGGAGUUGGACGUACCAAGGCGGCGUCCGAUGUUGGCGACCUUGUCUGGUAGCGGGAUGGUUGGCGGAGUUGUGGGUUGGGCCCUCCGGUGGCGGCACUAUGGGUCAGGUACGAAGAGGUAUCAACAAUGGUGGUGGAGCUAUGGUGGCAUGCUGGGCAAGGAGGGGGACAUCUUCAAGCAAUUUGGCAUGGGCCCUUGCAGCCAGUCCUAUGUGGCAAAUGCGCCCGUGCGUCCCCAUAUCCGCCCCACAUAUGGGCUGGGUAUGGGGAUUGUCGGUCAACCCAGACGUUUGUGCUAGAUUGUCCGGUCCAGUUGGGUGGCGUUUUACUAUUCGAGCAGUGAUCGGGCAGUCUGCCCGUACAUUUGGGGCAGAUAUGGAGCGUCCGGGUGUAGAUGCUCUUACCAAGCUGAAACGAAUACACCAGUUAUCCCUUCGAUUUCAGUAGUACCAGGAAUUUAGUGCGACCAGUAGCCAAACUUUGGGUGGGCACUUUCAAACUGAACUGAGUGGCGUACCAUGCAGCGCUCUCCUUUCUCCCCCUCCCAUGCCCUCAUGGCCAGUGGCGAUUGUAUGUAUGAGCUGUGAGCCCACACCUUCUUCUAGGACAAACAUGCUAAAAUUAUUGUAAAGUUACUAUACACUAUGAAGAAAAUAAUGCAAAAAAUUAACAAUGACCCCAUAGGUUCUUCCGGCUGGCUUCGCCACUUCUCAAGGCGACUGAGCCCACGCUAUUGGAAUCACCCUGCAUGGUAUACAUCACUCCCCUCGCCUCCCUGUCUCGGUCUCCCCUCGGUAACAGACCGCGGGUGUAAGAUCACACGUACAUUGUAUGUAGGCAUGGUUGGUGAAAACGAUUUUGAGGGAGGGUGGCCUCCUUGGAGGGCCUUGACCUCCAAUUCCACCCAUUGUUCUUGUAUGUUUGGGGCCAAAGCCAUCUAAUUACAAGGUUUGUGUUUGUAUCAAAGGGCUGCCAUGAUUGGCUAGAUCGCUAGAGUCUGGCUGACCUUUGCAAAGAUGAUGUGUUUGUGGAUGGGGUGCUGCUAUGAAGGAUCGAAGAUGCGCUACACAUCGACUAGAGGGUGUGUGUGUGAAUAGGAGACUAACAAAUUUUAAACUUUUCUUAGUUGCUUUUAGAGGCUAGUAUGAAAAUAUACGAUGCAUUAUAACAAGAUAACAAGCUAGAUAUGGCAACUAAGCAAGCAAGUAAUAACAUCAAGUAAAGCUAGGGAGAGACAACUGAAUAUGAUGGAGAGAUCCAGAAUUCACACUCUAGGGGGGGGGUGCUAAUCUUCAUUCGAGAGGUGUGGAACAACAAAUGCUCCCACAACAAUUAAUAUCUCACGUAAGUCUUCGAUAACCUUGGUUAAUGAAUGGCCCAGUUCCCUCUCACUAGGCAUAAUUCUUCAGGAGAGAUCCCCUUACAAAUGAGCCCAGGGGACAACCACACAACUUGAAAGCUCAUGGGAGACACAAACCGUCUUGGGUUUUGCACAAACCCAAGAGUAACAAAAUUCAUGAAGGAUUCUGCGAGGAAUCGACAAACUCAAGUUUUGCUUUGGUGGAGUUGUAGAUCAGGAUCUCUUGCUCUACCUAAAGUUAUAGGUAGAAUGGAGGGAUAUCUCAAGCGUUUUAAGGGUAGAAAAAUGAUGGAGAGAGUGUUGGAGUCAUCCCCUUUUUCAUGGAGAAGGGGGCCCCACUUAAAAACUGCCCCUUAUGAUGUUGUCUAGAAAUCUUAGAGGGUUCGAGACACCAUGGAGGGUCCGGUUAGUUGGAGGGUCCUAGGGGAGUCCGUGCGAAACCAGAGGUUUCUUCUUCCAGCUAGAGGUGCCUCAUAUAUCACUCGAAUGUGCCUCAUAUAUCACUCAAAGGGCCUGAGAGGCUAGAAGUUCCGAGACACCUUGGAGUCUUCGACCCAGGGACAGAGGCAAACAUGUCAACUCGGAUACCACACGGAGGGUUCGAGGUGGGUCCCAGGCUCACGGGAGAGCAAACAUAAGGGCACUUUUAAGGGGCUCUCUCUCUCUCUCACACACACACAAAGGUGUGGGUGGUUUUGGCUUAUCUUUGGCUCACCAAUUCCCAUACAUCAAUCCAUCUUGUAUCCCCUCUUUAUAGUACGGCAUACCUAUGGCUCAAAACGAGAAAUCCUCUGUAGGAAAUUGAUGUGCCAUGUUCUUUUAUUCUUUAGCUUAGGGGAUCACCGACCAACUUUAUGGUUCUUUUAAAAGUGUGUGUGUGUGUGUUGUAUAAUCACUCAAAAAAUCUUUAGUAUUUUGAACAUAGUGCCAUUAACGCCAAAACCCUCAUUAGGGACUAGAUUUCUAUUUAAUCUCCCCCUUUUUUGUGGUUGUUGACAAUAUGCUUAGAACAAUAUAACAAAGGUACUAUGAUUAAGAUCAUCAUUGGUUCUAGGGAUUUUUAUUUCUGUGCCCCUGGUUCCUUAGUUCUACUCAUUCAUCCCCAUGCUCUUAACUUUUGAUCACUUCUCCCCACUCCCUUGCCCGAGACACUCAGAACUGGUCACAGCGGACAUUGCUGUCAGGUCAAUGGCUUGACCGUUAACUCUGACGAGUGGGGCCGCGUAGGGCCAAGUCCACAUUUUGACCGUUACAUGCUAACCAGUGGAGCCGCGAAACUGACACUCACUGUAACCUGAAUCAGAUCGAGUCGCUUCCGCGCCGCCCCCUCCGCCGCCGUCGUGUCGCCUCCUCCGCAUCUACCCUCUCUCCCCAUCUAGUAUUAGGAAGCGAUGUCGGGGGGCACCCCGUCUAGCCCAUCGACCGUGGAGAUGAUUGGGUCGAAUCAGAGGCGGAUAAUUCAUGGAUUCCACCUAGGUAAGCAUCAUUUUCCUCUCAAAUUGAUUAGGAGAUAUGUAAAUUAGGCUGUAUUUAACCACGUUGGCGUGAAUCAGUGCAAUUUAUCUAAAAAAAUUCGGCCUAACUGCGCCCUUUAUAUCUUAUUUCAAUCGAAUAGGGUUGAUCCUGCACUUGCUUUUCGCCUGGUGGUUAGAAUGGAAACUAGCAAGCUGCGUGGAACUAAACCGUGUCUGAUUUCUGGAUUUUUCUAUCCUAAAGUGGUAGAAACCAGUGUUUCGUUCACAGAUUUCUGCGAGGCACUCUGUUGUGAGUAUCCGUGGAGCCCUGCCAAUGCUGUUGAGCUGAGAUAUUUCGAAGUACCGAGCAGAGAUUUGUCCCAUUAACUUGUGAUGAGCAUCUGGGAUUGCUAUUUAGUUUGAAUGCUGAGAGCCAUUUUGGUAAAAUCCAUAUCGGUGUGCUUCAGGCAUGCAAACAACAUAUCCCGAAGGGGAAGGGUGUUCAGACAUCAUCUGUCUCUGCUAAUAGCGAGCGUCCUCGCACUCCUUGUAGGUCAAGACCAAGUAAACCUAGUGGUUCUGAAAGCCGCAACAUGUCGGCUGCCGCUAAUUCUACCACUUAUCCUCUCCCUUAUGCACCUGAUGUAGAAGUAGAUGCAGAGCCUGAUGAGGAAGUGCCUCGACAUGAUGAUGAGGAUGAGAUUCUAUUCCCCGAACUGGUAGAUAGAGUCAGUCAAUAGGAAGUGGAAGAUGAAUAGCCAGAGGAGCCUAGCAGCCAUGCUAGAUUUGAUGACACUAACGAUGAAGAGAGGGAGGAGAACAUCGACUCAUUAGUUUUACAAGAAUAUGAGGGUGAGGACAUGCCAACAAUUGAGUGGAACAGGGAGAAUCCUGAGCUUACUUCAGGAACCAUAUUCGAAUCGAUGGUGGACUGUCAUAAUGCAGUGACUACAUAUUGCAUUCUCACUGAAAACUCUUAUGAGGUUGAUAGGAGUGAUCCAGAAAGAUUCACUGUUCAUUGCGCUUAUGAUAGGUGUGGGUGGAGGUUGCAUGCAUCCACUAUGCUAAAGAGCAAAUUGAUUCAGGUAUUACAACUGAAUCCUUUUAUCAGAUUAUUUAUUCAUUCUAUAUUCAGAUCAUGUGUACUGUUUCUUAAUUGUAUUUGAAAUCAUUUUUCAUUUUGUUUCAGCUAAAAAGCAACCCACACGGGCACACUUGCCCACCCGGAGGGAGAGGGGGAAAGGACAAAUCAAAGCUUGCAAAGACUAGGUGGGUGGCAGAUGCAAUCUUGGAUUGGGUGAGGGAAACACCAAUAAUUCACUACAAAAAAGACACAUCCAUGACAUUUUGGGCCGAACGAAAUUUUUUCUGUCAUACUUAUGACACUUCUAUGACAAUAAUUGUGACAAAACACGGUAUCAUCAUAGAUGUGGUGGGGUCCUACUUCUAUGACAAAAAAUCAUGACAAAAAAUGGGCUUUUCGUCCUGGGCGGGCCGGAGACGCAGUUGCAUGACAUUCUUUGGGCUGUCCAUGACGGAAAAAACCAUGGUAGAAGCGAGGGCGAGGAAAAUAUCGGGGUGUUCCCAGUUACGGUGGGUGGUCGGGGCCGAGCGAUGCAUGUUUCUCUCGUACACGCACGCGCGUGGGUGUGAGGCGUUGGGCUCUAACUGAACCCGAGCGAGGUGUUGGGCUCUAACUGAACCCGAGCGAUUGCACUGCAGGCUACGCGUUACUGAACCCGAGCGAUCGAUCAAUGGCUAUUAACUUAAUCCGAUCGAGCAAUUCCUUCGCUACUGCUGCUAACUGAAGCCGAUUNNNNNNNNNNNNNNNNNNNNNNNNNNNNNNNNNNNNNNNNNNNNNNNNNNNNNNNNNNNNNNNNNNNNNNNNNNNNNNNNNNNNNNNNNNNNNNNNNNNNNNNNNNNNNNNNNNNNNNNNNNNNNNNNNNNNNNNNNNNNNNNNNNNNNNNNNNNNNNNNNNNNNNNNNNNNNNNNNNNNNNNNNNNNNNNNNNNNNNNNNNNNNNNNNNNNNNNNNNNNNNNNNNNNNNNNNNNNNNNNNNNNNNNNNNNNNNNNNNNNNNNNNNNNNNNNNNNNNNNNCUGGAUGAACAGGACUCCAUGGAGUACUUAACCCGAUAGAGCGAUUCCUUUGCUACUACUGCUAACUGAAGCCGAUUGAUGCUGCCUCUGGAUGAACAGUGAGCGUUGCUGGGGGAGGGGGGGUUGGAUGAACAGUUCCCGGUGGGGAUGGAUGAAUAGGACCUCGAUCGAUCGAGCCGGUUGGGGGUGGAUGAACAGGACCCCGUGGAGGGCAGGAUGAACAGGACCACCCCGUGGAGGGCAGGAUGAACAGUAGAUGGUGGAGGGCUGGAUGAACAGUAGCCCGUGGAGUGGUGGUUGAAAAGGAGCCCGUGGAGAGGGCUGGUUGAACAGUAGCCGAUGGAGUAGCGCGCGGUGGAGGCUGGAUGAAUAGGAGCCCGUGGAUGAACAGUUACAGGUGGAGGCUGGAGGAGGUCGACGGUGGAUGAACAGUAGCCCGUGGAGGCUGGAGGGGGUCGACGGUGGAGAUGAACAAUAUCCCAUGGAGUCCCGUUUUGCGGUACGCCACACCCCUCCCGAUGAACAGGACCCCCGUUUCGACCGUAGCGCUCCAACACAAGUCCGUUUCCCCCCUUUUGCGGUACGCCACACCCCUCCCGAUCAACAGGACCCCCGUUUCGACCGUAGGAGGUCCGUUUCCUCCGUUUUGCGGUACGCCAGACCCCUCUCGAUGAAUAAGAUCCCGUUUCGAACGUGGCCGGUCGAACACAAGGCCGUUUCCUUCGUUCUGCGGUACGCCAGAACUCGUUUCCAUCAGCUGUUCUGUCCAAGCCCUCCCGAUGAACACGACGACGCAUUCCGUUCCGACCCAGCCGGUUGGCUCCCCAUGAACACGAUGACGACGCUGUUUCUCCGUUCCGACCCAGCCAUGCACACGAGCCCGGGCUGUACGUACGCGCGAGUAGGCGUUCGAGACUCCGUCCGUAUGUACGUACGUGGCUGUAUUUACUUUUUUGCACCCUGACCACUGUACGUACAUGUACAUGCUACGUGCGCGCCUCUACAUCGACCAGUAUGUACGUACACGUUCGCGACCAGAAUGACAACGCUACGUACGCUUCAACCAGGUGGGUCCCAACUGUCAGGCACUUCCUUGCGUGCCAAGGUGUAGCUGGUGGGUCCCAGCAGUCAGGGGAGCGAAUCGUUUUUUUGCCCGGACGCACUUCCUUGCGUGCGAAGAUGUAGCUGGUGGGUCCCAGUAGUCAGGGGGAAAUGUUUUUUUUCGCGAAAUAUGGUGGCCCGUUCGGUGGGUCUUCGCUGUCAGGUGGAGGAAUAUUUAUUCUGCGUGUAAUAAGGAGGCACUUCCUUGCUGCGGCCGUGGACCCAGCUGUCAGCCUCUCCAUGUAUAGUACUCUUCCGAUGGAAGUCGUUCCUUGACCACGCCGCGCUGAAAGCACCAGGGUGGUGGCGACGGCGAGGCCUAGGAAGGGGACGAUGCGGAGCCGGGGAAGACGCGAUAGUGGAAUCCCGCGCAGAGAGGAGUACGAGGGUUCACUGGUUCGGCUGCGGUGUGAGGCUGCCGUCACCGCAGGGCCUGGCCAGUGGUGGGAAUAGUAGGGGGUGGUGAGGCCUCCGCAGCAGCACAGCCGACCACGGGAGGCAGGAGCAUGCGGCACGACCGGCGCUGCUUUGGGCGGCUGGAGCAAGAAGACCAGAGGUUGAAGAAGCACUACGGCCGUUGGAUGGACAUCGUAUGGUCACUGGAGCUAAAACCGUGCAUAUUGACUAAGUUGACAAAGCUCUCCGUCCCCAUCAACUUAGUAGACCCACAAGUCAGCCUCCCACUAUACUGGGUCCCAGCUAGCAGGGGGAGUAUUCAUUUUUUUGUGCGUAAUAAGGAGGCACUUCCUUGCGUGCGAAGAUAUAGCUGGUGGGUCCGAGCUGUCAGUGGCGGUAACAUUUUUUUCGCAAAAUACAGAGGCCCUUUCGGUGGGUCCCAGAUGUCAGGUGGAGGAAUCAUUAUUUUGCGCGUAAUAAGGAGAUAUUUCCUUGGGUGCGGCCGUGACCCAGCUGUCAGCCUCUCCACGUACAUUCCACUUCAAAUGCAUGUCGGUCGUUGACCAUGUUGACCAGGCCGCGCUGAGAGCACCAGGGCGGUGGACGAAGGCGAGGCCUAGGAAGGGAACGACACGGAGCCAAGGAAGACUCGUCAGUUGUUUCCCAUGCAGAGGGGGGACGACUGUACGAGGGUUUACUGGUUCGUCUGUCAUUGCCGGAGAAUAACAGCAGGUGUGGGUGAGUAGAGGGAUGGUUAGGCCAGCGAUGGGAGUACGGUGGGGCGGUGAGGCCUGCGCGGCAGCACAACCGGCCGCAGGGAGGAGAGAGCAGGCAGUCCCGCCGGCGCUUGUUUGAGCGGCUGGAGUAGGAAGAGCAGAGAUUGAAGAAGCACGACGGCCGUUGGAUGGACAUCCAACAGUCACUGCUUGUGCAUUAACCUUUUUUUAGGAAAGCCUCAAAUCUGUGGAAAACAUCAUACAUCAUAUAUGCCAUUAUUUCUAAUAAUUUAUAGCCCAUUUGCCAAUUCUUAAGGUUUUUUGGAGCCCAUAUUCUUUUUGUUAGCAUUACAGCCCAUAUUGUGGCCACGGUUAAAAAAUUAUACGAAAUUUUGCAUAUUUCGGUGCGGUCCGAACUGUUUUUAAUCCUGAAAUUUCGAGUCACGUUCAAACUGAUUUUAAAAAUAAAUAUAUAUCAAUAUAAAAUCCAACAAAUUGUCCAUGCAUAAAAAUCAAUGCAAUUUAAAAUCUCAAAAUGAAAAAAAAGAAAUUUGAAACUAAUUGCCGGUUUGAUGUGUUUUAAAAAUGUACAACCCAUUUCUCAUUACUGAUAGGCCAUUUUCUCGGGCAGCCGAAUGAAAGCUCUCCUUGUCUUGAAAGAUUUACAGCCCAACAGGCCUGACAAAGUGACUUACUUGUCAAAUCACAAAAAAACUAGGCUGUGGCCGUGGACCCAGCUGUCAGCCUCUCCAUGUACAGUACUCUUCCGAUGGAAGCCGGUCGUUGACCACAUUGACCACGCCGUGCCAAGAGAACCAAGGCUGUGGACGACGACGAUGCCUAGGAAGGGGAUGACGCGGAGCCGGGGAAGACGCGAUAGUGGAUGCCCACGUGGAGAGGAGUACGGGGGUUCAUUGGUUCGGCUGCGGUGUGAGGCUGCCGUCGCCGAAGGGCCUAGCUAGCGGUGGGAGUAGUAGGGGGCGAUGAGGCCUGAACGGCAGCGCAGCCGGCCACUGGAGGUAGGAGCAGGCGGUCUCACCGGCGCUGGUUUGGGCGGCUGGUGCAAGAAGAGUAGCGAUUGAAGAAGCAGCAGGACCGUUCGAUUCAAAUCCAAUGGUUACUGCUGCUAGAAUCGUUUGUUGACUAAGUUGACAAGCCCUGCGUACACGUCAACUUAGUAGGCCCACAGGUUAGCCUCCCAACCGGUGCGCCCAGAUGUCAGUGGGAGGAACCAUUUUUUCCCGUAAUAAGGAGGCAGUUGAUUGCGUGCGGCCAUGCCAGUGGAGGGAGUAGGGUGGGCCGGGGAAGCCUGCGCGACAUCACAAUGGGCCACAAGAGGAGGGAGCAGGCAGUCCCGCCGAUGCUAGUUUAGGCGGCUGGAGCAGGAAGAUCAGAGAUUGAAGAAGCACGUCCGCCGUUGGAUGGACAUCCAACAGUCACUGCUACUAGAAUCAUGUGUUGACUGACAAAGCCUUGCGUAAACAAGUGAGCCUCGAAAUAUGUGACGUGUAAAGCCCAUUUGCUAUUAUUUUUAUAAUUUUUACUCAUUUUGUAAUUCAUAUGGAAUUUAUUGUAGCCCGUUUUCCAUUUUUAGAAUUGCUGCCCAUUUUCUGGUCAGUACCAGGGUUAAAAAAAUUAACUAAAUAUGUGGGAAAUUUUGAAAAUUCACAAAUUUUUGCUCGGGAACAAAAUAUUCUUAAUCCAAAAAUUAGUAGUCAUACUAAAACAAAUUUAAAAAUAAAUUAGUACUAUGUCAUGUUAAAUCCAAUGAAAUACAUAUAAGACAUCAGUGAAGAACAAAAACAAAAAAGAAACUAAUAUCCCAUUUGCUAUAUUUUUUUGGGAUUUUCAAUCCCUUUUUAUAUUACUUUUAACAGACAUUGACCAUACUCUUUGGCCAGGCCGGAAUGCAUCCCUCCUUGUGUUGAAAGAUUUGCAGCCCAAUAAGUCGGAGAAAACAAAUAGGCCUAGCUUGGGUAUUCUUCAAAAAGAAAUACUGGGCUAUCUAUUUUCUCAAAGAAAAAACUACUGCGCUGGUCAUGUUGUUAGACGGGCCACAGAGACCGCACAACCCAGUUUAUAGCCUACUCCUCCGAAUUACUACUAAAAAAAGUUGUGCAAUUCUAUUGUUAAUUGACUAUACAUUGAAAAUGAUGUGGGUCCCAUAUAUCAGCAGGGUGGAUUAGAGUAAAAAACGAGGGGUUCAUCUGAGUAGUAAAAGAAGCACUUGCUUGUGUUCGGGAGUGGACCUGGUGGGUCCGUACUGUCAUACUCACAACUACAGUCCUCUCCCGAUUUACUAUGUUGACAGGGACCGUUUCAAAAAAAAACUAUGUUGACAGGGCCGGACGGCGGUGCCGCGGCGAGCGCACCAAGGCGGAGGAUAAAGUGCUGCCGCCAAUGUGCUGGGCUGGGUUGGACAUUCUUAUUAAAAAAUAAAAAUGGACCGGAUCUAUUUAUGACGUUGACUACGAUUUGCAUGGGUCCGCUGGUUGCAGGAAGAAAAUGCUGGGAGGAAGAAGACUGGUCGCUAUCUUUGCCGAAGAAUAAUAUCGACUGAAUGUAACGACACUAUCAUAGGAAAUAAUAUCCUCCUGUUAAAUCGUGAAUUUAAAGAACUGGUGCAUGAGCAUUUAGCUUUAUUUAUUUAUUUACUUAUUUAUGUUUAGGGGACCAUGACCAUGUACCUGGGCCGGAUUCAUGUGAGAGCCUCCCUUCCAGUUAAUUAUGGGCUUCUCUACUGGGCCUUCAUCAGUGGACUGCAUGUUAUCAACAAGUGGAAAAUGUGUUCCGUAUGAAAAAUAGUAUGCGCUACGUACGGUACGGGGCACUAAAGGAUCGAACCGUGCAACGACUUCCAAAACAUUGUGUUUGUCGUUCUAACAACAUAUUUAUUCAACCAACAGACGAAAUAUACUACUGAUUGUACAUUGAAAAGAGCAGCAGCAGCAACCAGGGCCGGGGCAACAGAAGCAGUAAGCAGGCCAGAAGAGUGAAGACGCAACUCUCUCUUCCAAACCAAACAUCAGCCAUCAUUACAAAAUGGCUACCAAAAAAGAACAAGUGUAUCCAUCAAACUAAAUAAAGAUCCUACUACACCAAGUGUACGCAUCUAACUAAUUGGCUCAGUUAGACGUUACUAUUUAUUAAGCUGUGGAGAUUGGCUGAUGGCUUGAACCAGAUGGGUGCCUGACGGGGGAAACUCCAGCCAGCAGGUCGAAGUCUAAUACUUGCGACCCUCUCUCCUACUUUGGGCUGCAGAGCACGGCGGCACAUAUCAGGGUAUGGUGCAUGUAGAGACGCAUGGUACACUGUGUACACACAGUUUUGCCUGAUGAACGAAACCGCGCUACCAUCAUGAUCCUUGCCGUCGAUUAUCUCCUGGUUAAUCAGAUAAUUCAGUCUGACAAAUAGAGAGCGUGUACCAAGGCUACUUACCAACCUCCAGUCAAAAAUUUCUGAAGGCCCAGAGAAGCUGGGAUCUUGCUCAAAGACCUUGCAGUGACUGUGAUUGUAUUCCGCGAAACAACACGUCCGGUACGUGCGAACGAUCAUCAAUCGUUCAUCGUCGUCUGAUCGAGCCAGAAAUCAUCUGCAAUUGCCAUGCCGCUUUUCUUUGAAAGGUUCUGAGAUUAGGAAGGGUAGGGACACCAGGCGGCCUACAACAUCAUAUCAAGUUGGAGUCAAAUAAACCACAAAAAAGUUGGAGUCAAAUAAAAAAGGGCUCUUGAUGUAGUCAAUCUUAAGAACAACAUGUUAUGAGCAUGAAUAUUUUUUCAGUAAAUGUUGACAAUAAUAUAAGCAAGCCAUCAUGAUAUCAUAGGAAAGUAACAUAAAAAAAGUUGGAGUCAAAUAAAAAAGGGCUCUUUGAUGUAGUCAAUCUUAAGAACAACUUGUUAUGGGCAUGAAUAUUUUUUCAGUAAAUGUUGACAGUAAUAUAAGCAAGCCAUCAUGAUAUCAUAGGAAAGUAACAUACUGCUGUAACAACCAUUUGUAGCGAUGACUGGAGUAGGCCAGCAAUACGUCCAGCCAUAGGAGUCAACAGCGUAAAUGAAGCCCUUGUGUUCAACGGCAUCAGAGAACCAUGGAGGGUGUAUGAUCCUGCGAUGGACGUGCAGAUUUAUCCACUUACCGCAGUGAACUGUCAGAUAGGCGAGACCGUGGUUGAAGAACGCAAUUAGCCUGAAGUCUUUAUAAUUCGCAGAUCUUGUGGGCACUUGGCAGAUUACAACCUUGAGCAAAUCAAACUUGGUAUCAUGUUGGCUACUGUAAGAUUCCGAGUAUUCUGGGCCACGGUGCCAAAGCAGUGCAGUGUUAAUCGAAGGAAGGGGGAUCAAUCGCCGGGUGUAGACCUCCACGAGCAUCCAGCUACCGCGACUGUCGACGAGCACCAUCCAAGACGUGUUUAUGCCGACCCAGUACAUACCGUUAAUGUAGUUGAGGGUGACGGGGAUCAGAUCGCAAUCAAGGGGGUUGAUGCUCGCCAUCCUAUGAUCGUUAUGCUGCGUGACACGCCGUUUCUGAAGAUCAGGCGGCAUCAGCAAGCAAGGAGCUGGCUUAAAAAGCUCCGGCCUGAGGGCUUUGAGUAAAUGGUACAGCCCCGACAAGCACGCGGCGAGCGGCAUGGUACUGAGAUUGCCCACACGUGAAACAAUGAGCUUGAUUACCACUGUGGGGAGCGAAUUCCAGCCAUUCUUUCGGCGGACGCUGCUCGGUUGUGCCAUUGUUAGUUCUUGGGUUUCGGACGAGGGGGGGGGGAAGCGCCUUAGCGGGGAUGGAAGAUUGGACGAUGGGGGAGGCACCUUAGCGGGGAUUGAAGAGCGGACAAAGAUGGAGAAGCGAAUAUGUGCUACGGGAAGUGGACAGGUGAUGAUGACUACAACACGCCGCUUGACUUACGAGACACAUACCAGCAUCGUAGGGUCAUAUCGAAGUCAGACAACUUGCUUGAGUGAUCACAGUACUGAUACUCCCUACAGUACCUGCUACUAUGCCCUAACUUGCUUGAGUGGAGUAGUAGUGGAGUAGGAGUCGCUGGAGGAUUAGCGCCGCCUGCUAGUUUCGGAGGAGGACGACAACGUCUUCCUCUUGAUCAUGGCCACCGGGCACCUUCCGUGCAACGCACGGGCACCUUACUAUAGAUUAGUACGACAAAAAAUGAACUAACAUUAUAUAUAGUACGAUAAAUGAUGAUGCAUGUCACCUAAAAUUAUAUCAUUGAAAACUAUGUUCAAAUACGAAUCAAACGAUAUUGUUUUUGUUGACAUGCACUAACAUUUUGUGAGUUAAAUCUUCAGUCAAAUUCAAUGGGGGAUAAACCAUGACCGAUGUAGUAGUACUAGUGUAGAGGGCGGCGCUCCACGGGAGUCUCACCCCACUCGUGGCGCGGCAGUAAAGCCGUCAUAUCACAAAACCCAACCACUCCUAGUAAGACGUGGCCUGGUAAAAUAAAUGGACAAGCAACCAACACAUCCCUCCGUCUUUUUUGCAUUUCAUCUCUCUGCAUUUACUUUCUCCGGUUCAUCUCGCACACUCGAUCCGUAGCUACUACUCCUAGUAUCCCUAGCUACUACUCCUAGGGCCAGUUCUUUUGGCGGCUUCCCCAGCUUUUCCCAUAAGACUAGUCACAGUGGAGAGUAACAUUAAGGCGCCUCACUCAUUUAUUUGGGCUUCUAAACUACUACUAGUAGUACCUCUGUCCUGGUUUAUUCCUCACCAUUGUAAUUUGUGCUAAAUUUUGACCAAAGAUUUAACUCAUAAAAUGUUAGUGCAUGUGACAUGCACUAACAUUUCAUUAGUUAAAUUUAUGAUCAAAAUUUGACACAAAUUACAAUGGGGACCAAUAAAACAGGACGAGGUAGUAGUUAUGGGAUUACUCAUCUAGAAGCCUAAAAGAACUGGCCCUGGUACUCCUACUAGUAGUAGUACUCAAGUUGGAAUUCCAAUUGCAUGGCACAACUUGUUAGGCAAAAAAUUCGAUACAGGGUGCAGGAAGCGGUUUGGGAAUUUGCAUGCCUUUCCAACCAGUGAGAUACUCAGUACAAAGUACGACAGAGAAAUAACCACAGAGAAGGAAGCUAAAAGUAAACAAUCAAACGAGCAUUUUUGCAUUUGUUUUGCAUUGAAUCGUUUCACAAGCUUGACUAGUGUUGUUUUUCUACUUUAACAAAAAUCGCAUCGUAAUGUUAAAACGUGCAUUUGCACGUACAUAAGUAAUAGUAGUACUCCCUCCGUCUAGGUGUAUAAGUCUUACCGCCUUCUUGGUCACGGUGCACAAACAAAGAUGACUUAUUGACCUGGACGGAGGGAGUAGCACAGUCUGCAAGCAUAUAUAGAGAGAGACGUGUAGUGCGAUAGUAUAUAGUAAAGUUUGUGCUAUAUGCACAUACUUGCAAAAUGUGUACGAAUACACAAGGUUUCCAAACUUUCCCUUUUACAUACUUAAUUAAGGACGCUAAUAAUUCCUGAACAUUCGAGAUUUAUCAUUUGCGCCCCAAAACUAAUGAAGUCGCCUUACGAAACAAAAA
RNAcentral lists this long non-coding RNA (17181 nucleotides) under Triticum aestivum (bread wheat). RNAcentral describes it as "long non-coding RNA (TAES_LNC025168)". The record is from RNAcentral. Lineage: Eukaryota; Viridiplantae; Streptophyta; Magnoliopsida; Poales; Poaceae.